Papio anubis (olive baboon) is the source of this 117-nucleotide unclassified non-coding RNA. It matches the Rfam family "Metazoan signal recognition particle RNA". From Rfam's summary of the family: The signal recognition particle (SRP) is a universally conserved ribonucleoprotein. It is involved in the co-translational targeting of proteins to membranes. Lineage: Eukaryota; Metazoa; Chordata; Mammalia; Primates; Cercopithecidae. The record is from Ensembl.
GCCGGGUGUGAUGGCUCACGCCUGUAAUCCCAGCACUUUGGGAGGCCAAGGUGGGAGGAUCACCUGAGGUCAGGAAUUCGAGAUCAGCCUGACCAACAUGGAGAAACCCCAUCUCUA